This 840-nucleotide long non-coding RNA is filed under the name Marmota monax (woodchuck). The record is from RNAcentral. Lineage: Eukaryota; Metazoa; Chordata; Mammalia; Rodentia; Sciuridae.
GGGAGUCCCCCUGCGACCUCUGGGCCUGUCCCAGGCAGCGUGCGCUGCCACCAGCCCCUGCCUCCCGGAGCCCAGCCCCAAGUGUCCCCUGGCCUGGAGGGACUAGUCAGGACACUGUGGAGUCCUCGGGUCUCCCGGCCAGCGCUGCAGCAGCCACCCCCCUAAGCGACAGUCGGACAGGCACCUGACCCCCGCCCCCGGGCCACGGCUCCUCUGAUUCCAAGUGACCUUAGUCCUGCUGCUCCGUUGGAAGGGACAUCAGCCUGUGUGGGUGGCAGCUGGUAGGUGGACCCGAGAGCUUCGGCACCUCUCAAAGGCCCGUGUGAACCCGGGCCCUCCUGGUGGCCCUGUCGUGACCCCAGGCCCCUGCAGGCGUGACUUUGCCCUGUGUCUGGUUUGGUCCCCAGCCCUGGGAGGCAAGUCCUGUCAUUGUCCCCACUUCCCAGGCAAGGAGACUCAAGCCCGUGGGGACGACUUCAACCCCGGCUCAGCCCAGACACCAGCGCCUGCUCCCACCCAGGCCCCAGGCCCUACCACGCUGGGUCCCCCUCACGGAGCCCCAGAUCUGCUGGCCGCUGACCACGUGCCCCCGACAGCCCUCCAUGCCCAGGGCAGGCAGAGCUCCCCAGAGCCCCGGCUGCCAGCCCCACUUGGGCCCCAGCACAUCGGGUACCACCCUGUGCCCGUGGAGUGGCCGGGAAGCUGGAGGCCCCACAGAGAAGUUCAGAACCAAGGAGUUUUGGGAACCCCACGGUGGCAAAGGGGAGGUGCCCCUAGAGUCGUGCAGUGCACAACCUACACAACCACGAGCAGGGCCUUGACGGGCCCAGGGCAGGCACG